RNAcentral lists this ribosomal RNA (263 nucleotides) under Rhodococcus sp. SA5T. Its description in RNAcentral is "partial 16S ribosomal RNA". It matches the Rfam family "Bacterial small subunit ribosomal RNA", at positions 89 to 353 of the family's 1533-position model. The record is from RNAcentral. Lineage: Bacteria; Bacillati; Actinomycetota; Actinomycetes; Mycobacteriales; Nocardiaceae.
GGAUUAGUGGCGAACGGGUGAGUAACACGUGGGUGAUCUGCCCUGCACUUCGGGAUAAGCCUGGGAAACUGGGUCUAAUACCGGAUAGGACCUCGGGAUGCAUGUUCCGGGGUGGAAAGGUUUUCCGGUGCAGGAUGGGCCCGCGGCCUAUCAGCUUGUUGGUGGGGUAACGGCCCACCAAGGCGACGACGGGUAGCCGGCCUGAGAGGGCGACCGGCCACACUGGGACUGAGACACGGCCCAGACUCCUACGGGAGGCAGCA